CUGAUCAGCCAUGCCGCGUGCAGGAAGAAUGCCCUAUGGGUAGUAAACUGCUUUUAUACGGGAAGAAAAAGAGCUACGUGUAGCUUACUGACGGUACCGUAAGAAUAAGGACCGGCUAACUCCGUGCCAGCAGCCGCGGUAAUACGGAGGGUCCGAGCGUUAUCCGGAAUUAUUGGGUUUAAAGGGUCCGUAGGCGGGCCGUUAAGUCAGGGGUGAAAGUCUGCGGCUCAACCGUACCGUAGAAAUGCCUUUGAUACUGGCGGUCUUGAGUUAUGGUGAAGUUGCCGGAAUAUGUAGUGUAGCGGUGAAAUGCAUAGAUAUUACAUAGAACACCGAUUGCGAAGGCAGA
This 349-nucleotide ribosomal RNA is filed under the name uncultured prokaryote. Its description in RNAcentral is "bacterial SSU rRNA". It matches the Rfam family "Bacterial small subunit ribosomal RNA", at positions 383 to 725 of the family's 1533-position model. The record is from RNAcentral.